This 468-nucleotide ribosomal RNA is filed under the name uncultured bacterium. RNAcentral describes it as "partial 16S ribosomal RNA". It matches the Rfam family "Bacterial small subunit ribosomal RNA", at positions 28 to 507 of the family's 1533-position model. The record is from RNAcentral.
GACGAACGCUGGCGGCGUGCUUAACACAUGCAAGUCGAACGGAAAGGCCCUGCUUUUGUGGGGUGCUCGAGUGGCGAACGGGUGAGUAACACGUGAGUAACCUGCCAUUGACUUUGGGAUAACUUCAGGCAACUGGGGCUAAUACCGGCUAGGAGCUCCUGCUGCAUGGUGGGGGUUGGAAAGUUUCGGCGGUUGGGGAUGGACUAGCGGCUUAUCAGCUUGUUGGUGGGGUAGUGGCUUACCAAGGCUUUGAAGGGUGGCCGGGCUGAGAGGGUGACAGGCCAAACUGGGACUGAGAUGCGGCACAGACUCCUACGGGAGGCAGCAGUGCGGAAGAGUGUACAAUAGGCGGAAGCCUGAUGCAGCAACGCCGCGUGCGGGAUGACGGCCUUCGGGUUGUAAUCCGCUUUCGCCUGUGACGAAGCGUGAGUGACGGUAAUGGGUAAAGAAGCACCGGCUAACUACGUG